GAUGAACGCUGGCGGCGUGCUUAACACAUGCCAGUCGAACGGAAAGGCCCAAGCUUGCUUGGGUACUCGAGUGGCGAACGGGUGAGUAACACGUGGGUGAUCUGCCCUGCACUUCGGGAUAAGCCUGGGAAACUGGGUCUAAUACCGGAUAGGACGAUGGUUUGGAUGCCAUUGUGGAAAGUUUUUUCGGUGUGGGAUGAGCUCGCGGCCUAUCAGCUUGUUGGUGGGGUAAUGGCCUACCAAGGCGUCGACGGGUAGCCGGCCUGAGAGGGUGUACGGCCACAUUGGGACUGAGAUACGGCCCAGACUCCUACGGGAGGCAGCAGUGGGGAAUAUUGCACAAUGGGCGCAAGCCUGAUGCAGCGACGCCGCGUGGGGGAUGACGGCCUUCGGGUUGUAAACUCCUUUCGCUAGGGACGAAGCGUUUUUGUGACGGUACCUGGAGAAGAAGCACCGGCUAACUACGUG
This 468-nucleotide ribosomal RNA is filed under the name uncultured bacterium. RNAcentral describes it as "partial 16S ribosomal RNA". It matches the Rfam family "Bacterial small subunit ribosomal RNA", at positions 28 to 507 of the family's 1533-position model. The record is from RNAcentral.